RNAcentral lists this ribosomal RNA (253 nucleotides) under uncultured bacterium. RNAcentral's name for it is "partial 16S ribosomal RNA". It matches the Rfam family "Bacterial small subunit ribosomal RNA", at positions 524 to 776 of the family's 1533-position model. The record is from RNAcentral.
UACGGGGGGGGCUAGCGUUGUUCGGAAUUACUGGGCGUAAAGCGCACGUAGGCGGCUUUGUAAGUUAGGGGUGAAAGCCCGGAGCUCAACUCCGGAACUGCCUUUAAGACUGCAUCGCUUGAACGUCGGAGAGGUAAGUGGAAUUCCGAGUGUAGAGGUGAAAUUCGUAGAUAUUCGGAAGAACACCAGUGGCGAAGGCGACUUACUGGACGACUGUUGACGCUGAGGUGCGAAAGCUAGGGGAGCAAACGGG